RNAcentral lists this unclassified non-coding RNA (1021 nucleotides) under Chelonus insularis. RNAcentral's name for it is "uncharacterized LOC118070383, transcript variant X4". Lineage: Eukaryota; Metazoa; Arthropoda; Insecta; Hymenoptera; Braconidae. The record is from RNAcentral.
UUCCGACAUCAGAACGAUGUUUAAAUUCAUCUUAUUUUCUGUCUAUGUAUUAAGGUUGAACCAAGAAUAUCUGCAAGAUUAAGAUAAAGAGGAGAAGGUAGUUGAUUAUAAGUAAGCGGUACUGUAACUUGUCGAUGUUACGGUUAGAGUGACCAAAUCUAACGUGGUUUGAAAAUAAACGCUAUUAGUGAAGUUAAUAAUGAUAAUUUGAAAAUGAUUCUUUGGACGUUACGACGCAUUCAACAUGUAUUUUACCUUUUACUGUUCAAGAUAUUUCUAAAUGCAUUUUCACCGAGUAUCUGCUCUCGUCUAAAUUAUAAAUGAUCGAUAGACUGAAUAUAUCAAGAACGUUGAUAUUACUGAAUACAUGUUGAAACACGAUGAUAGUUAUAUUAAAAGAAUUUUCAUCGAUUCAAGUUCAACGGUUUUGGUUUUUACACUGAACUGAUUUUUUUUUUCUAUCAUAACGUUAUAAAGUGAUGGUGCCUUGGAGUUUUAUCCAACAAUGAAUCCAAAUUAUUUUAAAAGAAGUUUUAUACCACUAAUACUUUUGUAUAUGAGUCAUAAUUGCUAUUUGUGCUUUGAAAUAACUCAUGAAGAUAUCAGAAGUGCAAUUCUCAGUCUCGCUCAUAUUAUGCGAGAAAAUACAGAAAAAUUAGAAAGGCAUGAAUUCCGUGAUCGUCAGGUAGAUGAACAAUUACGAAAAGCAUUAAUGGUUAUUAGUAGGAGAAUACAACUGAUUGAUAAUUUCGAAUCUCAAUUUAAUGAUGUUAACAAAAAAAUGGAUAAAGUUGAGCAGUUCUUCAUAAAGCUGUCGAUAAUAUAAUGGAGCCCCCAUCACACCAUAAACAACUGGGGCCGCCAACCAAACCGAAUAAAACUAGUACUACAGGAGACCGAAAUCCGAGCCCGGGGAGCGUGACAUCCGUCCCCAAUAAGAUGUCAGUCAAAGGCAUUUUUACAAUCUUUUAAAUUUAAAUCUUUAAAUGUAUAAUCUUACUGAUUGUCAAUCAAAUUCUAU